GGCUAAGUAACAUAAGGGUAAUGUAUUGGAUUGCAAAUCCUAGAAAGAUGGUUCGAAUCCCGUCCUUAGCCU
RNAcentral lists this transfer RNA (72 nucleotides) under Phlegmariurus squarrosus. Its description in RNAcentral is "tRNA-Cys". It matches the Rfam family "tRNA". From Rfam's summary of the family: Transfer RNA (tRNA) molecules are approximately 80 nucleotides in length. The record is from RNAcentral. Lineage: Eukaryota; Viridiplantae; Streptophyta; Lycopodiopsida; Lycopodiales; Lycopodiaceae.